AAUGAACGCUGGCGGCAGGCCUAACACAUGCAAGUCGAGCGAGCAUUUCGGUGCUAGCGGCGGACGGGUGAGUAACGCGUGGGAACGUGCCCUUUUCUGCGGAAUAGUCCUGGGAAACUGGGGGUAAUACUGCAUACGCCCUUUUGGGGAAAGAUUUAUCGGAGAAGGAUCGGCCCGCGUUGGAUUAGGUAGUUGGUGGGGUAAUGGCCCACCAAGCCGACGAUCCAUAGCUGGUUUGAGAGGAUGAUCAGCCACACUGGGACUGAGACACGGCCCAGACUCCUACGGGAGGCAGCAGUGGGGAAUCUUAGACAAUGGGGGCAACCCUGAUCUAGCCAUGCCGCGUGAGUGAUGAAGGCCUUAGGGUUGUAAAGCUCUUUCAGCUGGGAAGAUAAUGACGGUACCAGCAGAAGAAGCCCCGGCUAACUCCGUG
RNAcentral lists this ribosomal RNA (433 nucleotides) under uncultured bacterium. RNAcentral's name for it is "partial 16S ribosomal RNA". It matches the Rfam family "Bacterial small subunit ribosomal RNA", at positions 29 to 507 of the family's 1533-position model. The record is from RNAcentral.